This 433-nucleotide ribosomal RNA is filed under the name uncultured bacterium. RNAcentral describes it as "partial 16S ribosomal RNA". It matches the Rfam family "Bacterial small subunit ribosomal RNA", at positions 29 to 507 of the family's 1533-position model. The record is from RNAcentral.
AGCGAACGCUGGCGGCAGGCCUAACACAUGCAAGUCGAACGAACUCUUCGGAGUUAGUGGCGGACGGGUGAGUAACACGUGGGAACGUGCCUUUAGGUUCGGAAUAACUCAGGGAAACUUGUGCUAAUACCGAAUGUGCCCUUCGGGGGAAAGAUUUAUCGCCUUUAGAGCGUCCCGCGUCUGAUUAGCUAGUUGGUGAGGUAAAGGCUCACCAAGGCGACGAUCAGUAGCUGGUCUGAGAGGAUGAUCAGCCACAUUGGGACUGAGACACGGCCCAAACUCCUACGGGAGGCAGCAGUGGGGAAUCUUGCGCAAUGGGCGAAAGCCUGACGCAGCCAUGCCGCGUGAAUGAUGAAGGUCUUAGGAUUGUAAAAUUCUUUCACCGGGGACGAUAAUGACGGUACCCGGAGAAGAAGCCCCGGCUAACUUCGUG